RNAcentral lists this transfer RNA (75 nucleotides) under Planctomycetota bacterium. RNAcentral's name for it is "Planctomycetes bacterium (sediment metagenome) tRNA-Phe". It matches the Rfam family "tRNA". From Rfam's summary of the family: Transfer RNA (tRNA) molecules are approximately 80 nucleotides in length. Their secondary structure includes four short double-helical elements and three loops (D, anti-codon, and T loops). Further hydrogen bonds mediate the characteristic L-shaped molecular structure. tRNAs have two regions of fundamental functional importance: the anti-codon, which is responsible for specific mRNA codon recognition, and the 3' end, to which the tRNAs corresponding amino acid is attached (by aminoacyl-tRNA synthetases). tRNAs cope with the degeneracy of the genetic code in two manners: having more than one tRNA (with a specific anti-codon) for a particular amino acid; and 'wobble' base-pairing, i.e. permitting non-standard base-pairing at the 3rd anti-codon position. Lineage: Bacteria; Pseudomonadati; Planctomycetota. The record is from RNAcentral.
GGGCGGGUAACUCACCGGUAGAGUGCUGCACUGAAAAUGCAGUUGUAGUGGGUUCAAUUCCCACCCUGCCCACCU